UUCUUUCAUCAGCAUGGUUGUGUCACAAAUGAUACCAACGCCAAGUAUAAUAGUCGUACUGCACAGCUCUACCGAGACAAGAUCAGAUCUCUUGCAGCUCAGGCGACACGGAAAUACGGCACAGAUUUAUGGAUAGAUGGCUGCGGAGCCCCUCCUUUAUCACC
Protobothrops mucrosquamatus (brown spotted pit viper) is the source of this 164-nucleotide long non-coding RNA. RefSeq lists it as uncharacterized. The record is from RefSeq and is a predicted model, not a curated record. NCBI's taxonomy places the organism in Eukaryota, Metazoa, Chordata, Lepidosauria, Squamata, Viperidae. The transcript is spliced from 2 exons.